AGCGUUGUUAUUGAUUAGUGUUACUGUUUAGGCUAAAAUUAACUUAAUAUAGUUAGUAGUUUUUUUUCCUUUUAGCCUCUGGUUGAGAGAUUAGCUUAGCAUAACUUAGCGUAGCAAAACUUAGCUUAGUAUAACUUUAGAUUAGCAUUAUUUAUUACCUGCACAGUUUCUUUUAAGGACACAGAGAGAGAGAUUGUUCCAGGUGAAGGAUGGGUCGCCCUCGGAAGACCAAGGAACCACCGGUCACCAGGAGGCCACCGCGCAGGAUCCUGCCAAAAAUAAAAGCUCACAUGCUUCACACUGGUAUACCGUGGGCAUGUGUGAGGGACACUAACUCCCCUCCAACUCUGCUGUGGAGCAUUCCCUGUAUGCAGCAGCUGCAGGCUACUCCACAGCCCCCCCAGCAGAAAGCCAGUCAGGAGGUUGUUUUUCCGGAAGACGUGCUGAGUUCUGUUCCUGGAGUCUGGGACCUGGCUGUGGAGAAGGGCAUCCUGCUUCCAUGGAGUAGGCCGCAGGUACAGGAUGUUCCUGCCACCCCUCUGCCCGGCGUGGUCCCUGUCACCUCCGUCACCAGCGCUCAUCAGCCCUCCACUAGCACAUCAUCCAUGGAGCUUGAGGAGCGCUGGAUUCUUCAGGAUCAGAUGGAGGAGGAAAUGAUGACCAGCGACCCAGCAGCAGACAGUCCACAGGGACCCCACCAGGAAGCCAGUCUGGAUGACUUUUUGGAGGAGCUGAGCGCCAUUCCUGUCAUCUGGGACAUGGAUUUCAAGAUGUGCCUCCUCCCUCCACCGUACUAGUACCACUAUUAGUAGCACAAGCAGCACCAAUAGUGAUCACUAGUAAAGGUAAGUAUGAAGGUAAGUAUGAAGGUAAGUAUUUAGUGACGGGCUGCACGGUGACAUUGUGGUUAGCACCUUGUCUCACAGCUGGAAGAUCUGAGUUUCGGUCCCUUCUGUGUGGAGAUUUGCAAAUUUGCAUGUAUCUCCCCGUGUCAGCGUGGGUUUUCUCCGGGUUCUCCGGUUUCCCCCACAAAACAACUAGGCCAAUUGGAGAUGAAUUGGACACAAAUUGGCACCAAUUUAACCUGUAGUUCCUUUAACAGUUUAAUAAUUUACAGUAGUAGCAAAAAAAAGCCCAAAAUAAAAAGGCUCCAGUGGUGGCACUCUUGACCUUCAGGAUCACGGCGGGGUUCAACUCCCUGUGGAGUCUGUUUUCAGAAUGGCUGCUUAUCUAAUGUCUAAAUGUUUAAUGUGCAAUUUAAAAAAAACCUUUACAUGAGGCUAUUCCAUAAUCUAGCAUGGUUUAACUUCAGCAAAGAUUCAUACUGUCCUCUGUAUCUGUGAAAUUAUUUUACGCUGCUAUUGAGCAGGUUGAUGGUUUAUAAAACCAGCAGUUAACGCUAAUAAUGUUGAUCACUUGCCUGAUUUUAUGUCCCUCUGGCACACCCAUUUCAGCGGUUCUGUAGGCAGUCCUGGAAAACUCUGGAGAGGACAUGAGGAGAGCCAGUGCUGACAGUCCGUGAGUGAAACCUGGAGCCAGCUGGUCAGCACAGGUUUUGAGGGAGGAAGAGGAGACGCCGUCUAGACCCGAUGCUUUACUGCUCCUGUUUGGAGAAGAAAUGACAUCUAAAUAAGGAAAAAUAAAAUGUUUAAAUCUUUAAAUGUGU
This is a long non-coding RNA of Denticeps clupeoides (denticle herring), 1666 nucleotides long. NCBI's taxonomy places the organism in Eukaryota, Metazoa, Chordata, Actinopteri, Clupeiformes, Denticipitidae. The record is from Ensembl.